GAUGAAGAACGUAGCGAAAUGCGAUAAGUAAUGUGAAUUGCAGAAUUCAGUGAAUCAUAGAAUCUUUGAACGCACAUUGCGCCCGCGAGUAUUCUCGCGGGCAUGCCUGUCCGAGCGUCAUUUCAACCCUCAGGGCCCGCCUGCUUCGGCAGGCGCGGCGCUGGUGUUGGGGAUCGGCCUAACCGCCGUCCCCCAAAUACAGUGGCGGUCUCGCUGCAGCCUCCCCUGCGUAGUAGCAACACUCGCAUGCGGAGCGCGGCGCGGCCACGCCGUAAAACCCCCGACUUUCUGAACGUUGACCUCGGAUCAGGUAGGAAUACCCGCUGAACUUAAGCAUAUCAAUAAGCGGAGGA
Molecule: unclassified non-coding RNA, 353 nt
Filed under: soil metagenome
Description: partial contains 5.8S ribosomal RNA, internal transcribed spacer 2, and large subunit ribosomal RNA
Rfam family: 5.8S ribosomal RNA (bases 1-120)
Source: RNAcentral